UCCUCUGUUACCUGAUCAAUAAUGAUAAAUAACGAAACAAUAAUAAUAUACUUAUUUGUGAAUCCGAAUAUGUCAGAAAUGAAAUGCACAAAUCCAUUCUAUGAUUCUGUAAAUAAGUGUUUCAGUAUAAGCUCAGUAAAGCAACAUGCCUAAAAUUUAUUCAGCUGGCUUAUAUAAAAUAAUAGCCGAAUGUCAGAAAUUGAAACUCUGUGAUUUCUUUCCCAGCUGCUAAAUGCAUAGCAAAUGAUGAUAAACAGAAACCUAU
RNAcentral lists this long non-coding RNA (265 nucleotides) under Gossypium barbadense (sea-island cotton). RNAcentral describes it as "long non-coding RNA (GBAR_LNC023540)". Lineage: Eukaryota; Viridiplantae; Streptophyta; Magnoliopsida; Malvales; Malvaceae. The record is from RNAcentral.